UAUCGUCUGGGCCCACUGCUUUUCUAUGCUUCAUCUUCUUCAAAGCUACAACCAUUUCUUCCUUCCUGAUUCGACGAUAAAAUGAGUAGUUUCUACACUCUUCUGAGUUACUCAACUCCCCUAAAGAAGUACUCCUUUCAUGUCCUUCAUUGAAAAGAUUAUGAAAAUAACCUCUCCAUCUGUCUUUGACCGCGUUCUCUGUAGCAAGAACCUUUCCAUCCUCAUCCUUAAUGCACCUCACUUGGUUUAGGUCCCUUGUCUUCUUUUCCCUUGCUCUAGCUAGUUUAUAGAUAUCCAACUCUCCUUCUUUGGUAUCUAGUCGCUUAUACAUAUCGUCAUAAGCCGCUAACUUAGCUUUCCUCACAGCUUUCUUCGCCUCUUGCUUCGCUCUUCUAUACCUUUCCCCAUUUUCAUCGGUCUUGUCCUUGUAUAAGGCUUUACAACAUUCCUUCUUAGCCUUCACCUUUGUUUGUACCUCCUCAUUCCACCACCAAGAUUCCUUUUGGUGUGGAGCAAAGCCCUUGGACUCUCCUAAUACCUCUUUUGCUACUUUUCGGAUACAACUAGCUAUGGAAUCCCACCUUUGGCUAGCUUCCCCCUCUCUAUCCCACCCACACUGGGUGAUUA
Molecule: long non-coding RNA, 627 nt
Filed under: Malus domestica (apple)
Lineage: Eukaryota; Viridiplantae; Streptophyta; Magnoliopsida; Rosales; Rosaceae
Description: long non-coding RNA (MDOM_LNC010833)
Source: RNAcentral